RNAcentral lists this ribosomal RNA (559 nucleotides) under Boleophthalmus boddarti (blue-spotted mudskipper). RNAcentral's name for it is "partial 16S large subunit ribosomal RNA". It matches the Rfam family "Bacterial large subunit ribosomal RNA", at positions 1845 to 2605 of the family's 2925-position model. Lineage: Eukaryota; Metazoa; Chordata; Actinopteri; Gobiiformes; Gobiidae. The record is from RNAcentral.
AUAAGAGGUCCCGCCUGCCCUGUGACUUGUUAGUUUAACGGCCGCGGUAUUUUGACCGUGCGAAGGUAGCGUAAUCACUUGUCUUUUAAAUGGAGACCAGUAUGAAUGGCAUAACGAGGGCCAAGCUGUCUCCUUUUUCCAGUCAAUGAAAUUGAUCCCCCCGUGCAGAAGCGGGGAUACGUACAUAAGACGAGAAGACCCUAUGGAGCUUUAGACAAAAGACAGCCCAUGUUAAAACCCCAGAUUAAUGAAAACAACAAAAUGGUGUCUGUCCUUCUGUCUUUGGUUGGGGCGACCGCGGGGAAACAAAAAACCCCCAUGUGGAAUGGGAAUAAUUCCCUUAAAGCCAGAGCCACAGCUCUCACUAACAGAACAUCUGACCAAAAAGAUCCGGCUAAGCCGAUCAACGGACCAAGUUACCCUAGGGAUAACAGCGCAAUCCCCUUUUAGAGCCCAUAUCGACAAGGGGGUUUACGACCUCGAUGUUGGAUCAGGACCCCCUAAUGGUGCAGCCGCUAUUAAGGGUUCGUUUGUUCAACGAUUAAAGUCCUACGUGAUC